GGGGAUGAUCGGUUUCGACAGUGCGUGUCAACCUGGGGGAAGCGGGCCGAGGAUGCAGGGUUAUCUCGUAAACGAUCUCUGUAAACCAAUAGGUGCCAAAGCUAAGCGCACCGACUUCGCUCUCGCCGCCUAAUAAGCCGCCAGACAAGUCCGUCGGACUAGGGAUGCCUUCGACCUAGACCCCGGCGCCAUUUAGAGGGAUUGCUGCAACACCGCGUUUCAGGAUGUUGUGGGACUUUUACUGGAACUGGGCUCGUCGACCAAGGUGUCUCAUCCAAUGGUCGGGGCCGAGUAGAACGACUCAUGAGACUACGCCCGUAGAAGACUUAGCUUCUCCGUAUUGGACGGGGGUUCAAUUCCCCCCAUCUCCACCA
RNAcentral lists this transfer-messenger RNA (374 nucleotides) under Microbacteriaceae. Its description in RNAcentral is "MWH-TA3 sp003053925 Standard tmRNA". It matches the Rfam family "transfer-messenger RNA". Rfam says of the family: Bacterial tmRNA, also known as 10Sa RNA or SsrA, is named for its dual tRNA and mRNA-like properties. Its role is to liberate the mRNA from a stalled ribosome. Lineage: Bacteria; Bacillati; Actinomycetota; Actinomycetes; Micrococcales. The record is from RNAcentral. RNAcentral also lists the same sequence under 1 other name.